GACGAACGCUGGCGGCGUGCCUAAUACAUGCAAGUCGAGCGGAAUGAUGAAGAAGCUUGCUUCUUCUGAUUUUAGCGGCGGACGGGUGAGUAACACGUGGGCAACCUACCUUGUAGAUUGGGAUAACGUCCGGGAAACCGGGGCUAAUACCGAAUAAUCCAUUUUGCUUCAUGGCGAGAUGUUGAAAGACGGUUUCGGCUGUCACUAUAAGAUGGGCCCGCGGCGCAUUAGCUAGUUGGUAGGGUAAUGGCCUACCAAGGCGACGAUGCGUAGCCGACCUGAGAGGGUGAUCGGCCACACUGGGACUGAGACACGGCCCAGACUCCUACGGGAGGCAGCAGUAGGGAAUCUUCCGCAAUGGACGAAAGUCUGACGGAGCAACGCCGCGUGAGUGAAGAAGGUUUUCGGAUCGUAAAACUCUGUUGUAAGGGAAGAACACGUACGAGAGUAACUGCUCGUACCUUGACGGUACCUUAUUAGAAAGCCACGGCUAACUACGUG
RNAcentral lists this ribosomal RNA (501 nucleotides) under uncultured bacterium. Its description in RNAcentral is "bacterial SSU rRNA". It matches the Rfam family "Bacterial small subunit ribosomal RNA", at positions 28 to 507 of the family's 1533-position model. The record is from RNAcentral.